AAGUAAAGUCGUAACAAGGUUUCCGUAGGUGAACCUGCGGAAGGAUCAUUAUCGUAAAAAAAAAUGUGUGAGGCAUGCAAGGGCUGUCGCUGACUUUUGACCCCAAAAGUCGUGCACGCCAGAGUGUGUCCUCUCACAUAAAAUCCAUCUCACCCUUUUGUGCACCACCGCGUGGGCACCCUUCGGGAUCAAACCGAUCCAGGAGGGGGCUUGCGUUCUCACACAAACCCCCUUUUAAAAAGUGUAGAAUGACCUCAUUUUUGCGAUAACACGCAAUCAAUACAACUUUCAACAACGGAUCUCUUGGCUCUCGCAUCGAUGAAGAACGCAGCGAAAUGCGAUACGUAAUGUGAAUUGCAGAAUUCAGUGAAUCAUCGAAUCUUUGAACGCACCUUGCGCCCCUUGGUAUUCCGAGGGGCACACCCGUUUGAGUGUCGUGAAAAUCUCAACCUCCUCGGUUUCUUCUGGACACCGAAGGAGGCUUGGACUUUGGAGGCCUUUGCUGGCGUCUCUCGCCAGCUCCUCUCAAAUGAAUUAGCGGGGUCCUCUUUGCCGAUCCUCGACGUGUGAUAAGAUGUUUCCAUGUCUUGGUUUCUGGCUCUGUUGCUUUUGGGACCCGCUUCUAACCGUCUCAACCCGAGACAAUGUUUGAGCGCGUCUCCCUUCUCGGGAAACGCCCUCAAGCCCA
Molecule: ribosomal RNA, 688 nt
Filed under: Lactarius necator
Lineage: Eukaryota; Fungi; Basidiomycota; Agaricomycetes; Russulales; Russulaceae
Also listed under: 1 other name
Description: partial contains small subunit ribosomal RNA, internal transcribed spacer 1, 5.8S ribosomal RNA, and internal transcribed spacer 2
Rfam family: 5.8S ribosomal RNA (bases 284-437)
Source: RNAcentral